This 2635-nucleotide long non-coding RNA is filed under the name Pelobates cultripes (western spadefoot toad). Lineage: Eukaryota; Metazoa; Chordata; Amphibia; Anura; Pelobatidae. The record is from RNAcentral.
AUGAGUAUUGCUACACUGUAUGAGGCGAUGCGUGUGAAUUAAUGAGUAUUGCUACACUGUAGGAGGCAAUGCGUGUAAAUUAGUGAGUAUAGCUACAUUGUAGGAGGAGAUAUGUGUGAAUUAGUGAGUAUAGCUACAUUGUAGGAGGCGAUAUGUGUGAAUUAGUGAGUAUAGCUACAUUGUAGGAGGAGAUAUGUGUGAAUUAGUGAGUAUAGCUACAUUGUAGGAGGCUAUGUGUGUGAAUUAGUGAGUAUAGCUACAUUGUAGGAGGCGAUAUGUGAAUUAGUGAGUAUAGCUACAUUGUAGCAGGCGAUAUGUGAAUUAGUGAGUAUAGCUACAUUGUAUAGCAUGAAUGAUGGCUGUAGAAUUGUGUAAACGAAAAUGAGUGUAAAACGAGGGAAAUAAACAGGCAGUAGAGAGCAGAUGGACUUGUGGUGAAGAUCGCGAGUAGAGUUCUAGUGGAGGCAGCAUUGAGUGAGUAGAUUUGUGGUGGAGGCACUGGUGAGCAGAUACAGUUGUGAUGGAGGCAGUGAGAGCAGGUAGACUUGUGGUGAAGAUCGUGAGUAGAGUUCUAGUGGAGGCAGCAUUGAGUGAGUAGAGUUUAGAUGAAGGCAGCAGUGAGUGAGUAGAUUUGUGGUGGAGGCAGUGGUGAGCAGAUACAUUUGUAAUAGAGGUAGUAUAGAGCGGAUACAGUUGUGAUGAAGACCAUGAGUUUGUGAUGGAGGAAGUAGUGAGCGGAUAGAGUUGUGAUGGAGGCAGCUGUGAGUGGAUAGAGUUGUGGUGGAGGCAGCGGUGAGCAGAUAGAGUUGUGAUGGAGGCAGUGGUCAGCUGAUAGAGUUGUGGUGGAGGCAGCAGUGAGCAGAUAGAGUUGUGAUGGAGGUAGUGGUGAGCAGAUAGAGUUGUGGUGGAGGCAGCGGUGAGCAGGUAGAGUUGUGGUGGAGGCAGCAUUGAGCGAGUAGAAUAAUGAUGGAGACAGCAGUAAGUGAGUAGAUUUUUGGUGGAGGCAGUGGUGAGCAGAUACAUUUGUAAUAGAGGUAGUAUAGAGCGGAUACAGUUGUGAUGAAGACCAUGAGUUUGUGAUGGAGGCAGUAGUGAGCGGAUAGAGUUGUGAUGGAGGCAGCUGUGAGUGGAUAGAGUUGUGGUGGAGGCAGCGGUGAGCAGAUAGAGUUGUGAUGGAGGCAGUGGUGAGCAGAUAGAGUUGUGGUGGAGGCAGCAUUGAGCUAGUAGAAUAAUGAUGGAGACAGCAGUAAGUGAGUAGAUUUUUGGUGGAGGCAGUGGUGAGCAGAUACAUUUGUAAUAGAGGUAGUAUAGAGCGGAUACAGUUGUGAUGAAGACCAUGAGUUUGUGAUGGAGGCAGUAGUGAGCAGAUAGAGUUGUGAUGGAGGCAGUGGUGAGCAGAUAGAGUUGUGAUAGAGGCAGCGGUGAGCAGAUAGAGUUGUGAUGGAGGCAGUGGUGAGCAGAUAGAGUUGUGGUGGAGGCAGCGGUGAGCAGGUAGAGUUGUGGUGGAGGCAGCGGUGAGCAGGUAGAGUUGUGAUAGAGGCAGUGGUGAGCAGAUAGAGUUGUGAUAGAGGCAGUGGUGAGCAGAUAGAGUUGUGGUGGAGGCAGCGGUGAGCAGGUAGAGUUGUAGUGGAGGCAGCGGUGAGCAGGUAGAGUUGUGGCGGAGGCAGCAUUGAGUGAGUAGAGUUGUGGUGGAGGCAGUGGUGAGCAGAUAGAGUUGUGAUGGAGGCAGUGGUGAGCAGAUAGAGUUGUGGUGGAGGCAGCGGUGAGCAGGUAGAGUUGUGGUGGAGGCAGCGGUGAGCAGGUUGAGUUGUGGUGGAGGCAGUAGUUGUAUGUUUAGGAGGCAGGUUUAUGUGUAUUAUCUGAUUUGGGGUUACGUGUUUGGGAUUUGGGGUUAGACUGGAGCAAAGGAGAUAUUUCAAUGAAUACAUUUAUGUAAAGGAUGAAUGUUGACGUUUGGACAAGCAGUGUGUGCAUUUGGCAUGAGACAUGAAUGGGUCAGGUAUUUUUUAUGUUAUCAGCAUUUGGCGUCCAUUAUAGUGUAGUGUUAGUUAACGCUAGAACACCUAUAUUUCCUGUUUUCUCCUAGUAGAGAUUUUUUACCUCUAUCUAAACUUAUUUAAUGGAUAUUGCUCUCUGACCAAGACUGAAAGCCAGCUGGGUUAAAUAACGGGGUGCACUCGAGAAUUGCAGGGGCUCUCUGUGUCUUUAAUUUACUGGAAUGAUGCCUCUUACUGCCUCCCAUUCCACCCACACUGACAUAAUAACCAUGAUGACACACUGCACACUCCACUGGCAGCAACUUAAUAAGGACCAGCAAUUGUCAGCCUGGUCUCACAUUAUUUUGCUUUGCACUGACAGGGGUUGGAGGGCUCAGCUGAUAUCCCCCCUCUUCUAUGGUUCUUAGUAUGAUCCACUCCUACCGCAUGUGUGGAGAGCAGAGCAUAUGGAGGUACGUGGAGGCUGAUUAAAGUAUGAGAUGUUUUAUAUACAAAGCAGUAUGUAAGCUGUUUUUAAUGAUAGGGGCCGGGAGAGCUGUAUGUAUAAGGCCUUAAGGAAGAGUCAGAUUGGUUUUUUUCAUGUGUUUUAUCACUUUCUCUGUAUUUCUCUGUUUUUCCUCCACAUCGUUUCUUCAAAA